AUAUUGCUCACUCUGCCCCCUGCACAAGCAAUACGGUGAGACACACACACACACACACACACACACACACACAGUGUUAUAUUGCUCACUCUGCCCCCUGCACAAGCAAUACGAUGGUAAGCUUUAUGAUGCGUAUGUUAGUUACCCAAGUGGGAACAGCGUUUCCAUGGCAAUGACCUUUGCUCUUAGGGUUCUCCCCGAGGUUCUGGAGCGUAACUAUGGUUACAAACUCUUCAUCAGAGGCAGAGAUGACCUCCCAGGUGAAGAUAGACCAGCAUUUGAGUUGUGUUUGACGUCGUCGAUAAGGCUCUGGCGAAGAGUCGCCGACUCCUCAUUGUGCUGGAUGGAACAAAGAUGGACACACACAAGCAGACA
This is a long non-coding RNA of Alosa sapidissima (American shad), 375 nucleotides long. RefSeq lists it as uncharacterized. Lineage: Eukaryota; Metazoa; Chordata; Actinopteri; Clupeiformes; Clupeidae. The transcript has 4 exons. The record is from RefSeq and is a predicted model, not a curated record.